This 373-nucleotide ribosomal RNA is filed under the name uncultured bacterium. RNAcentral's name for it is "bacterial SSU rRNA". It matches the Rfam family "Bacterial small subunit ribosomal RNA", at positions 525 to 896 of the family's 1533-position model. The record is from RNAcentral.
ACGGAGGGUGCAAGCGUUGUUCGGAAUUACUGGGCGUAAAGCGCGCGUAGGCGGUUUUACAAGUCAGAUGUGAAAGCCCAUGGCUCAACCAUGGACGUGCAUUUGAAACUGUAAGACUUGAGUAUUGGAGGGGGUGGUGGAAUUCCCGGUGUAGAGGUGAAAUUCGUAGAUAUCGGGAGGAAUACCAGUGGCGAAGGCGACCACCUGGCCAAAUACUGACGCUCAUGUGCGAAAGCGUGGGGAGCAAACAGGAUUAGAUACCCUGGUAGUCCACGCCGUAAACGAUGUCAACUAGGUGUUGGGACGGUUAAUCGUCUCAUUGCCGCAGCUAACGCAUUAAGUUGACCGCCUGGGGAGUACGGUCGCAAGAUUA